GAAGAAAAGAACAGAGAAAAGGAAUAG
Molecule: ribosomal RNA, 27 nt
Filed under: Zaptyx similaris
Lineage: Eukaryota; Metazoa; Mollusca; Gastropoda; Stylommatophora; Clausiliidae
Description: Hemiphaedusa similaris partial 5.8S rRNA
Source: RNAcentral